AACCCUGGAAAGGCGGUGGAAACUGAACGGCUAGAGUGCAGUAGGGGUAGAGGGAAUUCCCAGUGUAGCGGUGAAAUGCGUAGAGAUUGGGAAGAACACCGGUGGCGAAAGCGCUCUGCUGGACUGCAACUGACACUGAGGUGGUCGAGACUACACAGACGAAAGCUAGGGGAGCGAAUGGGAUUAGAUACCCCAGUAGUCCUAGCCGUAAACGAUGGAUACUAGGUGUGGCCUGUAUCGACCCGGGCCGCGCCGUAGCUAACGCGUUAAGUAUCCCGCCUGGGGAGUACGCACGCAAGUGUGAAACUCAAAGGAAUUGACGGGGGCCCGCACAAGCGGUGGAGUAUGUGGUUUAAUUCGAUGCAACGCGAAGAACUUACCAGGACUUGACAUGUCCGGAACCCUCUGGAAACAG
RNAcentral lists this ribosomal RNA (415 nucleotides) under uncultured bacterium. Its description in RNAcentral is "bacterial SSU rRNA". It matches the Rfam family "Bacterial small subunit ribosomal RNA", at positions 611 to 1009 of the family's 1533-position model. The record is from RNAcentral.